CAAGACUCCUACGGGAGGCAGCAGUGGGGGAUAUUGCACAAUGGGGGGAACCCUGAACCAGCGACGCCGCGUGAGUGAAGAAGUAUUUCGGUAUGUAAAGCUCUAUCAGCAGGGAAGAAAAUGACGGUACCUGAAGAAGAAGCCCCGGCUAACUACGUGCCAGCAGCCGCGGUAAUACGUAGGGGGCAAGCGUUAUCCGGAUUUACUGGGUGUAAAGGGGGCGCAGACGGCGAUGCAAGCCAGGAGUGAAAGCCCGGGGCCCAACCCCGGGACUGCUCUUGGAACUGCGUGGCUAUAGUGCAGGAGGGGCAGGCGGAAUUCCUGGUGUAGCGGUGAAAUGCGUAGAUAUCAGGAGGAACACCGGUGGCGAAGGCGGCCUGCUGGACUGCAACUGACGUUGAGGCCCGAAAGCGUGGGGAGCAAACAGGAUUAGAUCCCCUUGUA
This 444-nucleotide ribosomal RNA is filed under the name uncultured bacterium. RNAcentral's name for it is "bacterial SSU rRNA". It matches the Rfam family "Bacterial small subunit ribosomal RNA", at positions 331 to 792 of the family's 1533-position model. The record is from RNAcentral.